CCUACGGGAGGCAGCAGUGGGGAAUAUUGCACAAUGGGGGAAACCCUGAUGCAGCAACGCCGCGUGAGUGAAGAAGUAUCUCCGGAUGGAAAGCUCUAUCAGCAGGGGAGAAGAAUGACGGUAUCUGACUACGAAGCACCGGCUAACUACGUGCCAGCAGCCGCGGUAAUACGUAGGGGGCAAGCGUUAUCCGGAUUUACUGGGUGUAACGGGAGCGUAGACGGCUGUGCAAGUCUGAAGUGAAAGCCCGUGGCUCAACCGCGGAACUGCAGUGGAAACUGUAAGGCUUGAGUACUGGAGAGGCAGGCGGAAUUCGUGGUGUAGCGGUGAAAUGCGUAGAUAUUAGGAGGAACACCAGUGGCGAAGGCGGCCUGCUGGACAGAAACUGACGUUGAGGCUCGAAAGCGUGGGGAGCAAACGGGAUUAGAUACCCCAGUAGUC
This 441-nucleotide ribosomal RNA is filed under the name uncultured bacterium. RNAcentral describes it as "partial 16S ribosomal RNA". It matches the Rfam family "Bacterial small subunit ribosomal RNA", at positions 338 to 795 of the family's 1533-position model. The record is from RNAcentral.